RNAcentral lists this ribosomal RNA (495 nucleotides) under uncultured bacterium. Its description in RNAcentral is "partial 16S ribosomal RNA". It matches the Rfam family "Bacterial small subunit ribosomal RNA", at positions 30 to 507 of the family's 1533-position model. The record is from RNAcentral.
UGAACGCUGGCGGCGUGCCUAAUACAUGCAAGUCGAGCGAACGGACGAGAAGCUUGCUUCUCUGAUGUUAGCGGCGGACGGGUGAGUAACACGUGGAUAACCUACCUAUAAGACUGGGAUAACUUCGGGAAACCGGGGCUAAUACCGGAUAAUAUUUUGAACCGCAUGGUUCAAAAGUGAAAGACGGUCUUGCUGUCACUUAUAGAUGGAUCCGCGCUGCAUUAGCUAGUUGGUAAGGUAACGGCUUACCAAGGCAACGAUGCAUAGCCGACCUGAGAGGGUGAUCGGCCACACUGGAACUGAGACACGGUCCAGACUCCUACGGGAGGCAGCAGUAGGGAAUCUUCCGCAAUGGGCGAAAGCCUGACGGAGCAACGCCGCGUGAGUGAUGAAGGUCUUCGGAUCGUAAAACUCUGUUAUUAGGGAAGAACAUAUGUGUAAGUAACUGUGCACAUCUUGACGGUACCUAAUCAGAAAGCCACGGCUAACUACGUG